This 406-nucleotide ribosomal RNA is filed under the name uncultured bacterium. RNAcentral's name for it is "partial 16S ribosomal RNA". It matches the Rfam family "Bacterial small subunit ribosomal RNA", at positions 30 to 526 of the family's 1533-position model. The record is from RNAcentral.
AUUGAACGCUGGCGGCAGGCCUAACACAUGCAAGUCGAACGAGUGGCGGACGGGUGAGUAAUGUCUGGGAAACUGCCUGAUGGAGGGGGAUAACUACUGGAAACGGUAGCUAAUACCGCAUACCAUCGGAUGUGCCCAGAUGGGAUUAGCUAGUAGGUGGGGUAAAGGCUCACCUAGGCGACGAUCCCUAGCUGGUCUGAGAGGAUGACCAGCCACACUGGAACUGAGGCACUGUCCCGACUCCUACGGGAGGCAGUAGUGGGGGAGAUGGCACAAUGGGCUCAAGCCUGAUGCAGCAAUGCCGCGUGUAUGAAGAAGGCCUUCGGGUUGUAAAGGACUUUCAGCGGGGAGGCGUUACCCGCAGAAAAAGCACCGGCUAACGCCGUGCCAGCAGCCGCGGUAAUUC